AUUAUAUUACAUAAUUUAUUAUAUAUUAUAUAUUAUAUUAAAUACAGUAAUCUACACUUGUUACUAUGAGACUUAAAUUAGUUAAUUCAGUUGCAAAUGCCUGGUUUAUAAUGGUACACAUUGAAGUUUAUUAAAUUUGUUGUUUAGGGACUCGUUUUAAUUUCUAUUUAAACUUAGUGUAGUUUACUAUAUUUAAACUCAUUUUACUUAAUUCCAUGAGUGUAAAUCAUGACAGAGCUCCUGAAAAAGUGAUAUGAUAAUAAUAACACUAAAAAUACGAUAAAAACAUUCAAGUUGGUUUUCCACACAGUGUCAAAUUUGAAAGUAAAGUAUCCUCAACAGUCUGCUUUGCUCAAUCUUUAAUUUUCAUGUUCACGAAAGCCAGGCAAAGUGCAAUUGUAAAUGACACCUGAGACAAAACUUCAGAUCACACUCUGCUUCCCUUUUCUUUGUAUCUUUCUCUUUUUUCUCUUCUUUAGUUCUGUAUUUCGACCCACCAACAAUGAUCAACUGUAUGCUCCUUAAGUGCGGAGAUUGCAAAAGAAGAAUUAGGCAUAGUUUGGUUCUUCAGAAUAAACAUUAGCACCUCCCUACCGCCCUUUCUUCCUUUUCUUUCUUCAUCCUUGUUUUCUUCCUCUCUGAAUAUUUUUUCUUUUUCCAGCUUUCUUCAAUCCAUUUUGCUUCCUCAUACAUUCCUAUUUCUCUACAGUAAUUAGUUACAAAAUAUGUAACUGAAAUUCUAGAGAUUUUUCACCUGAUUUUUUUUCAUUGUUACUGCUGUUGUGUUUACCUUCCUCUACAAAGUAAAGGGAAUCUGAAAAAUAUCUGGAACCCCAAGGUUGCUCUUUUGCUUUCAUCCACUGACCUAAUCUUAAUACACUGUUCAAAUUAUCAGUAUUCUUUUGAUUGCUCUUUGGCUUUAAACAUUUUAACAUCUGCAGUUUCUAUUCUUAAAGCGUCUAAUAAUCAGCCCAUAGAUCCUUCUACCCUAAGAUUUAUUAUAAGCAAAACAAGCCUUUUAAAAUGUAAGAAUUAUUUGUAAAAGUGAAUUGUGAGUGCAAACUUACAGCUUCUAAGCAAUGAUGGUGGUGUUUGGGGAGAUGGGAUGUAGUAGAAAAGCUGACUUCAUCAUUCCCAUGUUCAAAUAUACGAGGAAAAGAAAGAUUCAAGAAAACGUGUUUACUGAGUGUAUACCAUGUACGUGGCAUUGAGCUCAGUGAGCCCUUUCCCACAUAUCACCUCAUUUACAGGCAUGUCACAUUCAUAUCCGUACCUACAAGGGAUCUUCUGCUGAGCCAGCGUCAUAAAAGGAGCCGUAAACAGGGCACAGUGAGAGGAGUCUCUGGCUAAACCAACAUAAUAUUUUAAGAUUUUGUAAUGCGUAUUUUCGUAUCCCUACAGAGGUGCUAAAAUCACUACAGCAAAUGUCUGACGCCACAGUCAUUUUUGCAAGGCUUCCCUUGAUCUACUGUGUGUGGAUUAGGUACUAAGUAGAAGACAGUGGAUAUACCGUGUUUAAGGGCAGAGGCUUUGGGGAAUGAGCAAGCCGAUGUGGACUAGUAAGCCUGCAAUUUCCAGGCCACAGGACUUGUACUAUACAGGGCUUCCUAAGGCUCGCUAUUUCUCUAAAAUGAGACUAAUUAUAAGGCACUUGUGAGCUUAAAAGAGAAAACAUAAUAUUCCUGACAUAUAUAGGUGCUCAAAAGGCUACGAUGUAUGUGUUUACUGUUAUUUCUAUUUUGAAAAAGUUGCGUUUUGUUCUUCAGUAUUUGGGGGCAGUUUGUUUUUCCUUAUUGCCAGGAUUUCAUGGACUGCAGACUGUAUUCAAAGUAGGACUUAGCCAGAAAGACUUAGCCUGCAAAUGAAGUAUUGUCUUAUCUCAUAGUGUCCAACUCUAUUUAGAAAUGCUUAAGACAAAACUGUAAAUACAUUCCAAACUGGUAGAAUUUUCUGUCUGAAUCCCCUGGGUUUUUUUUUCUAAUAAAUUAAAUUGUAAUAUCACUUGUUAAUCUGCUUCUUAAAUGUAUUUCAAAAUUCAGAAGAAAAGGUGAGGAACACAAACACGAGAACUGAAGUAAAGGAAGGAUAUAUAAGAUGAUAGAGAAAGAAAGAAGAGAUUGAUAAGGGAAGGAAAGAGGAGAAUGAUAAUAAUUUUGCUACCUCGGCCGGGCACGGUGGCUCACGCUUGUAAUCCCAGCACUUUGGGAGGCCGAGGCGGGCGGAUCACGAGGUCAGGAGAUGGAGACCACGGUGAAACCCCGUCUCUACUAAAAAUACAAAAAAAUUAGCUGGGCGUGGUGGCGGGCGCCUGUAGUCCCAGCUACUCAGAGAGGCUGAGGCAGGAGAAUGGCGUGAACCCGGGAGGUGGAGCUUGCAGUGAGCCGAGAUCGCGCCACUGCACUCCGGCCUGGGCAACAGAGCGAGACUCUGUCUCAAAAAAAAAAAAAAAAAAUUUUUGCUACCUCAAAAUAAUAUUAUAAUAUAACAUUUUGCAAUUCUAGUUUUAGAAAAUUCUAUUAAUAUAUUAGAGAAUUUUUGUUAUUAAUUUUAUAAAUAGUAUCUCAAUUCUGAAUGGGAAAUAUAUUAACCUCUAGAGAGAAGAAGUUAGCAUACUAAACUGGCAACAUAUAUUUAAUGUACAUUUUACUAAUUGUGCCCUCUGAAAAGUAAUUUUGCAUGCAAAGGACAAGAAAAUACACAAAACUAAAAUUGGCUGCAAUCAACCAUUGAUAAUCUCUACUCAUUGUUGUUGAAUGGACAGAUGCCAUAGUGCCCCAUAUUGGAAAGAAUGAAACCAGAAAGCCUAAAUCAUGGGGAAAAUUAUGAAUCCUUUAUUAUACAUCAUCAUGUCUCUGUGGCCAAAAAUAUUGUUUUUCAUAGCAUAGCAAUAUACCUGAAUACAAUCUGCUGAUCCCAAGUUGAGCAAAAUGGGAUAUGCUAUUUAAAUUGGUGCAAAUUGCUUUCCGAUUUUUUACAUGUAGAAAAGAAAAGCCAUGUUGGGCCAUUUAUAUGAAAAUGAAUUUCGUUAGUUCCAUUGAAAGUAUUCUUAGGUCAAGAAUAGAAAAAUAGCAAGAAGUAUCAUUCACAUUUAUCAUUCAAAUAUAAGAUUGAUUCUUUGGAUGAAUAAAAUACUAUUUUUUUACUUUUAUUGUUUUUAUCUUCCCUGCAAUUAGAUAUUCGAAAAGAAAUUAAGUGAAAUUUAUCUUCGAAUAUAAAAUCUGAAAAUCAAAAAUAUUUUAGCUUGUGAAUUUCAUUCAUUCUUCAACCAGACUGGAACGUCCACGAAGAUGUGUUCUGUCCAUUGAUAAAGCCCCAGUGCCCAGAACACUGACUCAUGUAUCGUACAUACUUAAUAAGUAUUUGUGGAUUAUUUACUAAGCAAAUGUUUAUACAGAUUGGGGUUGAAAAAUGGGAGGUGGGCUGGGCGUGGUGGCUCACACCUGUAAUCCCAGCACUUUGGGAGGCUGAAUCAGGCGGAUUACGAGGUCAGGAGAUCGAGACGUCAGGAGAUCGAGCUGUCAGGAGAUCGAGACCAUCCUGGCCAGCACGGUGAAACCCCCUCUCUACUAAAAAUACAAAAAAAAAAAAAAAAAAAAAAAUUAGCCAGGCAUGGUGGGGGGCGCCUGUAGUCCCAGCUACUGGGGAGGCUGAGGCAGGAGAAUGGCGUGAACCUGGAAAGUGGAGCUUGCAGUGAGCCGAGAUUGCGCCACUGCACUCCAGCCUGGGUGACAGAGCGAGACUCUGUCUCAAAAAAAAAAAGAAAAGAAAAAUGGGAGGCAAUGAGGAAUAGAAAUGUAAAAAUAAAACAACAAAAGGCCAUGCCGACCUGUCAGAGUGAAGGGAGCAAGGGGAUCUGGUGGAAGGAAACACGAUCACCUCCUGGCCCAGAAAGCUUUUUGGUGGCCAUGAUCUUUGAAACAAACAUGGCGUUCAUGAGCAGCUGGAGUACAUUUCAGGUCGUGAAGGGCAUGCAUUUGUGGAAAUGGCUGAGGAAGUUUGGUGUUUUGUGGAGAAUAAGGGUAUGAAUAUAACAGAAGUAUUGGGCACGUGUAAAAUAUGGUAAAAUAAGGUGAUGGAAGAGUGUGAGUGUGCCAGAGGUUAGUAUUCUCUGUUAAGGAGUUUUUCUUCAUUCUGUAAUUAGAGGGGUGUCGUUUACGUUUUUAUUCAGGUAAGCCUAACUGGUAAUUCAGAAUGAUAUUUAAGAAAAGUACUCUGAUAACAUCAUGGAGAAUAAGUUGGAAUGGGGACUGUCGGGAAGAUAGCAGGGAGGUAUUUUAUGAUUGGUGAAGGAGGAAUGACUGCACUAACAGCAUAGAGAAGUAACACUGGCAUGCAGGGAAGGGGAACGACACAAAGGAUCAAUAAAGCAGUGAGAGUAGUACUUUCAGACUUAUUAAUAACUGUUGGAAGAAAUACAAAUUUCACAGAAAUUUUAGAUGGAGUUGAAAUCACAAAAUAUAAUUAAAUCUUGACCAGUGAAAAGUGAUAUUAAAUACACCUCAAUCAUUUGUUCACAUCGAAUGAGAGAAAAUAAAAAUGCUUACAAAAUAAUGAAGGCAAAAAGAUUAUCUUAAAACAAAACAUUAUACAAAAGUAUUACAUCAAGGCCUCCAAAAUUCAAUUAAUGAAUGUAGCUGAGCAAUCCCAGAAAAAUAAAAGAUAAAUGUUGACAAAUUGGAUGUUAUUUGAUGUGAACAAAAACUAUUGUGAAUUUAUUACAGGGCUCAAGAAGUUAGAAGACCCAAACUACAUAAAACACAUGAAAUGAAAUCCUAUAAUUAUGGCUUUAAAUUUGAAGCAGGAAAUAUAUUUAAGGGGGAUUAUUAAUCUAUACAUCACCACACACUAAGAUUACCUUGUAUUAGCAUUAAACCUGUUGGAUUGUCAAAAAAUGCCUUAACCAUCAAUAUUUGAUUUCUUAAAAAAAUCGUGGCUUAGGACUACAAUAAGACACUCACCAAUAUCAACAUUGAUAUCCCUUAAGCGUAGUAGUAUUCAAUUUGCUGUGAUAGGUGAUUUUUCUCCAUAUUCAAACAGAGAAUAAGAAAAGAAAGAAAAAAAUGUAUGUUUAACAAGGCAAGAGAAUGGUAUUUGGGGAUUAUUCCUCACUGCUAUUGAUAUAACACAAUGCUACUGAGAUGAAACUAGAGAAGAAUAAUAUCCUGUAUGUUCAAGGGACAUCAUAGUUAGCGAAAUAAUGGAAAUGUAUGUUAAACUUCCAUUCAUAGUUAACUUGUGAUAACUUUCCUUGCAAAUUGUAAAAUUUAAAUGCUAUGUAAACUAUAGUAUUAUUAAGGAUAAUAACAAUGAUAAUUAUUGUAUACAGCGUUGUGCUAAAAUAAAUGGAAUACCUGGAGAUCCUGAAAGAACAAAGCCUUCUACCUUCUGGAUUUUGAGCUGAUUUAAAGAGAGUAGCUUUUUACAGAACAGCGUAAAGGACUUUUCUUCCAGCAAUUCGGACCUAACUUGUGAAAAUGGUAGGACUGUGAGGUUCUAGGAGAAAGGACAACUUCAAACUAGAGAGGGAUGGACUGAUUUGUUUAAUAACACUUUCCAUUCUCUGUGUUAAGGUGAAAAAAAGAAAAAAAAAAAAAAAGCACCUAACUCAGUAAGUUACAUGUGAAUGAUGAGGCUUCGUAAAGUUUUUCCCUUCCCCAGAUCAGUGGCUUUCCCCCUCUUUCUUUGCAAAAUGUGUAUUGAUGUUUUUGUUUGUUUUUGGUUGUUGUUGCCUGAGAAUGAGAAAAUGAGAUUGACCUAAAUUUAGCUUGGCUAUAUUUUAUGUUAUCCAGAAACACAGGCAUGGUUUGUAGUUAACGCUUGCAUUCUGAAUAGAAACCGCAAAUGCAUGUGUCUAACAUUAUCUUAGCUAAUUUUUACCCAUUUUACUUAAUGUGUAUUCUUUUUUACAAUUACUUGUGUAUGCAAAUAAACAUCUUGUGAAAUUAAUGUGUAUACGCAUUGAUGUGCUUCUUAAAUAUUUUUUUCUUUUUGUCCUCAUUAUUACACUCUCAGUCAAUAAGGUAGUCAGUACAUCAAAAGAUUUUCUUAUCUCUUCAACGUUAGAAGAACUUGUUCAGAAAAAUAUUUGCCUUUUAUUAACAUAAACCAAUUAUUUUGUGUAAUUUAAACGUAGCUUUAGACAUGACUACAUUGUACAAACAUUCACAUUAGAACUCAAAAAGCACAGAUAAAAAUAAUUAUUCAGUGCUUCCUAUGUGGUAGAAGUUUGCUUUACAGUAUCUGAAAUUCUUACAAUGAUCCUGUAAUAGAGUUGCCAUUAUUCCUAAUGUCCUAUGGGUAGGAAAUGGGGAUAGUAGGUUUUUUUUUAACUCAAUUAUGUGGACUUUAAGAAUACUUGUAGAAACUGGCAUUGCAUAUCAGGUCUUAAUAAGAUUCUUUUUUUGUUUGUUUUUUAGGUGGGUGAAUAUGUUGUUUUUGUUUUUCAGUAAUAUAAUAUUUUGACAUGUUGUUAAGCAUUAUAACUCCUGCAAUAAAAAAAAAAAAAAAAAACACUGCAUGCUAGUUAGAGAACAAUAGAUUUACCCUAUCAUCAUUAACAUUAUCAUACCUUGUCUCCCUCUUUCCAGUUCAAGGGCUGAGCAAUUCUAAUAGUACUGGGAAAAAAGGACUCAACAAUUAUUCAAGAGAGACAAGUCAAAAGCCUACAGGAAAAUAAUCCUGGUUUAGAUUGGAAAGGAAAAGUCAAGUUAAAGACGUAACCAUGGGCUUUCAUGUUGAAUGUAAAAGUGGCAGGCAGCUGUUCUUGUUCUUCAUUUCCAAGGGCAUAGAACAGGAAAUGAGGUGUAAGUUGCAGUCCCGUGGAUCCAGGUUAAGUAUGAAUUGGCUGUAGGUUACAUAUAAAUUGGCUGUGGGAAUCAUUUACAUAAAUAAGACAUUUAACUCUUUUCCUGAACAUAUUUUAAAACAGUGAAAUUCUCUCUCCUGUUUCGAAUGGUUUACGUUUUACCUUACUGUGAAAUAAGAAUGAAUAGGUCUGCAGACAUACUGCCCUGAGGGUGCUUGAUCUUAUCCGAAAUAAGAGUGAACAAGAUGAGUUAGGGAAAUUCAUAGUCACACUCAUUUUAUUCUUCAGACAAUUUCAAGCAACUUUCAAAGACUAAAAUAAAAAAAAAAACUUUUAGUGAUUCAUUGUCAAUUUACAGACUAAAGAAAGUAGUUAAGUUGAAGUGGGUUUAUUUGUGUCUGGAUACCAGAAUUUAUAAUAGGCUCUGUGGGUGGAAGAGACUUUAUAACCCAAAAUCAGAGUAGAAAUUGAUUCAGAACAACUAGGUCUGACUCAAACUUAUGACAUGUUAAUGACAGAAAGUUUGAAGCUGAGGUUUAAAAAGAAAUACUAAUAUUAAAAGUUUGACAUAAACCUAUUUCUUAAUUGAAGUAGCAUUGCCUCUUAAUAGAAGCAGGAGAUACUUGAUGUGUACCUGGCAUCAACUGGUGUCUUUGGGAAAAUUAUAAAAAUAGAUUAAGUAAAAUGUUCACAAUAGCAUUUUGCAUGGUAUUGGGUGGGAGGAAUUGUUAUAUUUGAUAAAUACAUUAAGAUGUCAUUGACUAACCCUAAAUGCAUAGCCUAGCUAUAUGUUAGGACAAUUCUUGCAUCAUAAUCAGUUCUAGUGUUGACAGUGUGAAUUUUUCACUGUUGUUGUAGAGAGUGCUUAUCAACACGUAAGAUAUUCACAGAUAAGUAUUUCUUCUAAUGGCAUUGCGGCAUAAUAUGGAGCGUAUGAAAAAAUCAACAGCCCUGCUAUCCUGUUGAAAUAAACUGGAUCACCUUGAGUUAAAAGGGCACAGAACAAACUUUCUCAUUAUUUUCUGUUUUUCUUCAACUGUCUCUUAUUAAUGUCAAACUAUAUAAGUUAUUACCAAAAACAUGAUACUUUUGAUCUUACCAAAUAAAAGAAAGGUUUUAUUUGUGGUUGUAUUUACAAGUCUCACUGAUGUCCAUAAAUAUUAUUUACAAAUUAAGGAUAUUGGAGCUACAGAAUUAAAAAGAGGCCAGGCUCAGUGGCUCACACCUGUAAUCCUAGUGCUUUGGGAGGCCAAGGCGGGGGAUUCCUUGAGGCCAGUAUGCAUGGCUGUAGUGAGUUAUGAUUUUGUCACUGCACUCCUGCCUGGGUGACAGAGUGAGACCCUGUGUCUAAACAAACAAAAUGAUUAAAAAGAAUUAAGCUUAAAAAGUGUAAUUUUGUGUACAUUAUAAAACAUGAAAUGAUAUCACCAAAGCCUUUAGUGUGAUUGUUACAUAAGUGUUUCACUCUUUUAUGAGCUUUAACUAACAUACAUCUGGAAACCUAUAAACACAUUUUUAUUUCAUUAAGUCAAACUUGUGUCUAGAAAGACUGUCAUUGUGAUAGUAGUUUGGCAAUUUAAUGUCAGAGUAUGUGGACACUGCACUUACAAUGUCCCAUUUUGGUCCUGAGGACGUUUGGGUUGAGCCACAGGAAAGCAGAUGUUACUAGGCUCAGAUACCAAUAUGUAAAUGUUAUAAAUUUUUACAAAUUUGUGUUUUAUAAAGAUCUGUUUGUGGGGGAGAAGUGGAUCUUGUGAGUAUUGCUGAGUGACACUUUGACACUUUCACAUUUUGUCUUUAGUUCUCCUGAAAAGUGGCAUGGACUUGAGGAAAAAUCUAUUAUAAUUUUACUAAAUGUCAUAUGUAUGGUAUUAAAAUAAUCCAUGUCUAGCAUUACGUUUGUAAAGAUUUUAAAAAUAUGCGUUAUGAUAGGUUACAAAGUUUUAGUAUGGAUCAAAUAGGAUUAGUAGUGUACUUGAUAAGAAAGACAAAAUUCUGAGAUAGGUUCUUGGUCUUUGAGCAUAGUAAGACCUGCUUUCUUGUGGCUCAACCCAAGCUUUCUCAGAGCCAAAGUGGGACAACAUUGUAAGUGCAGUGCCGACAUACUCUGGCAUUAAAUUGGUAAGCUAGUAUCUCAGUGACAAACUUUCUGAACACAAGUUUGACUUAAUGAAAUAAAAAUGUGUUUAUAGGUUUUCAGAUGGACUGCACAUUUUAAAAUUCCACUUAUGUGCCUCAUUUGCAUAUUGAUAAAGUUAAUUUGAAAUCGACUUCAGCUCUUUUUGUAACUUAAAACAUAGCAAAUUUGUAGAGUCUGUUUUUUUUUUUUUUUUUUUUUUUUUUUUUUUUUUUUUUGAGAUGGAGUUUAGCUCUUGUUGACCAGACUGGAGCGCAAUGGCGUGAUCUCAGCUCACUGCAACCUUCGCCUCCCAGGUUCAAGCAAUUCUUCUGCCUCAGCCUCCUGAGUAGCUGGGAUUAUAGGCGCCUGCCACCACGCCUGGCUAAUUUUUGUAUUUUUAGUAGAGGCAGAAGGGCGGGGUUCACCAUGUUGGCCAGGCUGGUCUGGAACUCCUGUCCUCAAGUGAUCCACCCGCCUCACCUUCCCAAAGUGUUAGUCUGUGUUUUAUGUGCUUCAGAUGUAAGGAUUCUUGGUAAACUCAUUAUUAUUUUUUCACAACAUUAUAUUUUUGUCAAUUCUGAGUACAAUGUAUUUCUUUUUAUGACUUACUGCAAAAGGAAUUUUAAAAAUAAAGUAUCCAUUAGAAGAACCAAAUGAUCAUCAUAUACCCUAAACUAAUAUUUUUUGGGGUUCUGCAUUAAAAAUAUAUCUAAUUAUAAAAGUAUUACAUGCCCUUAUGGAAAACUUGACAAAAGUAUAAAGUCUAAAACGAUAAUCACCCGUGCCCCAGGAGUAAUCACUAUAGAGUGAAGACAUAAAUGAUUGCUAGCUAGCUAGCUAGCUAGAUAUGAUAGACAGGUACAUAGUUUUUGUCUUUUUUAAAAAUAAGGAUUGUAAUAUAGAUGAUACUUUUAAUCUUGCUGUUUCCAUUAACAGCAUAGCCAUUUUAAACUAUUACAAAUUUUAGGGAAUAUUUGAUAAAUAUUGACAAACUUUCGGCAAAAACAUUUUUACCAUUUUAUAUUCUCGCCAAUCUUACUGUAGUUGCAACAAACCUGAAUAUUAGUAACUUUACAUUUUUCUAUAUUAAAUAAGCAAAAUAAAUAGGAAAAGGUGGAUUUCAUUUUUCCAUUUGCCACCUUUACAACCUUUUUAAAAAGUAUAUGAGACUAAUAACAUUUUUAGGUUUGUGGGUAGUUUUUACCAUCUCCUUCCAGUAUUAUCUUAGGAUCAGAUGCCGUUUUUGCUAUACUGUCUUAUGAUUUUUCCUACUGGUGCUAUAAGCUCUUUAGAGAAUAAGAAUCCUAUAUUUUUAAUAUGAUGUAACAUUGUUACAAAUCUAUGUUUAUAGAUUUUUAUUUAGCCCUGUAUAUUAUAUAACUAAAAGACCUCUAAAAUAAGGCCCUAACCUGCACCCAUUUUCUAUGCAUUUUUUUCCCAAAUCCAUUUAAUACUGUACCCAUAUAUGGCUAAAAAUUAACACUCCUUGGUUAACUAUGAACAUGGUGAAACAGCUGCUUCUUUUAUUCGCAUAAAUGUAUGCAGAAUUGCUAUGCUAUUUUAAUAACUAUGCAAUAGACACAUCUUGCCAUGACUCAUUUCAUGUUGCUGUUAGUGAAUUAUGUGUAUGUGAUCUGACAUAAAGAUUUCAGCUCUGUUUUAUUCAAUUUAUCUUCAUCAUCAUCAGUAAAACUUCAUCAUAUAGGAGAUGAUGGGUAAAUGAUUACUUACAGAACAGAUUUAAAUUAAUUAGACAAUGUAUAGUUUAUUCUAUAAAUGCUUUCAUCUAAGCUUCCAAAAUAAAAUUAGUCUUUUCAAUAUUUUAAUACCCACCCUUUAUGCUUUCUUCAAUUUGUUGCCUAUUUAAGAGUUAAUUUUGGCAUAUUCUAUAUACUGUACUACUCUACGUUUUUCUGUAAAUGUUUUUUGUCAUAAGUUAUGUUUAAUACUUUUUAUUUUAGCCAAGUUGUAUAUGUAAAUACGCAUGAAAGACUUUGAGGAGUGCUUGGUAUAAAGUAUUUAAUAAACAUUGAUGGUUGCCAUUCUGUAAAUGCUUCAGGAAAAUUCUUAAAUAUUAUGUCUGAACCACUCUAGUUUCCUAAAUUAGCCUAUGGUUUAUCAGUCUUGACGGUUUUGCAUUGUAAGAUAGCAGUAAUUUUAUGGAGGCAGCACUGUAAACCUGCACCAUUGAACAUUUUCACAUAUUGUGUACAGUGUACAAGGGAGUGAAUGAGUCCUGAACAGCACAAUUUGCCAUUUUAAUUUUCCUAAACAAAAGUUCAGUUUCUUCAUCCUUCUUGCCUAUAUAUGUAAUUCAAGACAUACUAGUUGGUUGACAAGUUUCUGUCCUGAUUAUUACAAUUGACCAGGAAUUUAGGUGAAUAUAACCAACUCCCUGGCAGCAUAUUGCAGUGCAGAGAGCAUGGGCAUUCCACUGGGAGACCUGGGUGUCAGUUCUGACUUGGCCACUUUGUAGCUAUAUCACCCUGAAAAAGAAUCUGUCUGAGUCUCAGUUUUAUUAUCUGUAAAAUGGAAAAAGAAUGUUUGCUUCUAUUUUAGGAUGAUUUUGAUGCUUAAUAAAGAACAAAAAUGUGAUGGUGUUUGGGGUGUAGCCACUGCUCUCUAUGUCUCUGUUCUUUUUCACUCUUGCUUUUUCUAGUCUGUAUAUCUCAUGAUCCAGACUGACAAAGAAAUGAUGAGAUAAAGGUGAAGUAAGCAUAGUUCCCAAACAAUAAACGAUCUGUGUAUAAAGAUUUUAUACUGUAAGGUGGAACUUUGUAUGAUUUUAAGACAGGAAUUGCCUGACGACGUUCGUACCCAUUUGUAACUGAAUUCGUGAAGUACUUUUUAAAGCAAAAGAGAUUUUCAAAAAUUGUGAAAUUACUCUGUACUUAUUGUUGUAAUUAAACUGUGGAGUAGAAAUUACAGUCUUAUCAAAAUUUAAUUUUAGUAAAUUCAAGCCAAGCCACUAAAAUUUUAAUUUUAAUUUUAAUAUCAUGAUCUCUCUUGUCCUUUACUUGUAUACACACACAAAAUUUCCAUCUGUUAUUUCACCGUGUUUCCUAAUUCUUAUUUCUUCUCUUGGUCCAGUUCAGAAAAGCCUGUGAUCCACUCCACGGCAACCCGAGGGAGUGGUCAAGUCACACAGAGCUCUGUGUCACCCCCUGACAGUUUCCUCACCACAGUCAGAAUGGCACUUGUGACAGACACUGGAGUUUCUCUUCAAUCUAAUUAAGGUUAUGAAUCUCUCUGAACUUCAGUGCUCUUACCUCAGAAAUGAAGAUAUCUCAGGCGUCCAUUGUCCCCACUAGAUCUACUUUCCAACAUUCUUUGCUCGGCUCUCAGCUCCUGGAAGUGGACCUGUAGCAUCAAGAUAGAGUCUUGCUCUGUCACCUAAGCUAGAGUGCAGUGGCGUGAUCUUGACUCACUGCAACCUCCACUUCCCUGGUUCAAGCGAUUCUUCUGCCUCAGCUUCCCAAGUAGCUGGGACUACAGGCGUGCGCCACUGCGCCCAGGUAAUUUUUGUAUUUUUUAGUAGAAACGGGGUUUCACUGUAUGUUGGCCAGGUUGGUCUCGAACUCCUGACUUCAGGUGAUCUGCCUGCCUUGGUCUCCCGAAGUGUUGGGAUUACAGGCGCGAGCCACUGCGCCUAGCCCUACUUCACUUUUUCUACUCUUAGCAAUUGUCCAUCUUGGCAAGAAUAAAAAUUACAUUUUUUCCCUCACAAUUUACAAGACAUCAUAGAUAUUCUUAUAAUUGCUGGGCAGUUAGAAAUUAAAAACAAAAGUUUAGUAGGUUAAAAUGUAGUCCACAAAACUAAUGUGUUUAUAAAAUUGAUCCCAAACACAAACAUUUCUCUAAAGAGAGAAAUAUAGAGGAAGCAAUUUGAAGGAUUUGUCUUAAGUUAUUAAGUGAGUUAUAUUUUAUACAAAAGUAAAUCUGAUUAUCAUGAGGCUGAGGAAAUGUUUGUUUUAAAAAUUUUAAAAUGUGAAACAGCAGUCAAUUAUAUUUAUUCUUAUUUUCAUCCAGAAGUAAGACAAACACAAUAUAUUUAUCAAUAAAUUAUUAGCUUCCAUUUCUGGUUAACAUCUUAAGAGUGAGUUCAUGGAAGCUAGAAUGAGAAGUACCAGUGAAACGAACCUCUGAGUUAUAUUCAUUGUUUAUAGAGCUAGAAAGGGACUUCCUAGAAAAUACAGGUUUGCGCCGGGCACGGUGGUUCAUGCCUGUAAUCCCAGAGCUUGGGAUGCCGAGGUGGGUGGAUCAUUUGGGCUCAGGAGUUUGAGACCAGACUGGGCAACAUGGUGACACUCCAUCUCUGCAAAAAAUAAAUAAAAUAAAAUAAAAUAAAAUAAAAUAAAAUA
Symphalangus syndactylus (siamang) is the source of this 13285-nucleotide long non-coding RNA. RefSeq lists it as uncharacterized. The record is from RefSeq and is a predicted model, not a curated record. NCBI's taxonomy places the organism in Eukaryota, Metazoa, Chordata, Mammalia, Primates, Hylobatidae.